GUUGGGAGAGCUGCAUUAUAGCGGUUCGUUGGGGUUUCAAUCCCCACUUGGCAC
RNAcentral lists this non-coding RNA (54 nucleotides) under unclassified sequences. RNAcentral's name for it is "DUF3800-VI RNA". It matches the Rfam family "DUF3800-VI RNA". From Rfam's summary of the family: Actinobacteria, Planctomycetes, Proteobacteria, Spirochaetes. Nearby to DUF3800 The record is from RNAcentral.